This 510-nucleotide ribosomal RNA is filed under the name uncultured bacterium. RNAcentral describes it as "partial 16S ribosomal RNA". It matches the Rfam family "Bacterial small subunit ribosomal RNA", at positions 28 to 507 of the family's 1533-position model. The record is from RNAcentral.
GACGAACGCUGGCGCCGUGCUUAACACAUGCAAGUCGAACGAAGAGCGAUGGAAGCUUGCUUCUAUCAAUCUUAGUGGCGAACGGGUGAGUAACGCGUAAUCAACCUGCCCUUCAGAGGGGGACAACAGUUGGAAACGACUGCUAAUACCGCAUACGAUCUAAUCUCGGCAUCGAGGAUAGAUGAAAGGUGGCCUCUACAUGUAAGCUAUCACUGAAGGAGGGGAUUGCGCCUGAUUAGCUAGUUGGAGGGGUAACGGCCCACCAAGGCGAUGAUCAGUAGCCGGUCUGAGAGGAUGAACGGCCACAUUGGGACUGAGACACGGCCCAGACUCCUACGGGAGGCAGCAGUGGGGAAUCUUCCGCAAUGGACGAAAGUCUGACGGAGCAACGCCGCGUGAGUGAUGACGGCCUUCGGGUUGUAAAGCUCUGUUAAUCGGGACGAAAGGCCUUCUUGCGAAUAGUGAGAAGGAUUGACGGUACCGGAAUAGAAAGCCACGGCUAACUACGUG